RNAcentral lists this transfer-messenger RNA (377 nucleotides) under Candidatus Brocadiia bacterium. It matches the Rfam family "transfer-messenger RNA". Rfam says of the family: Bacterial tmRNA, also known as 10Sa RNA or SsrA, is named for its dual tRNA and mRNA-like properties. Its role is to liberate the mRNA from a stalled ribosome. The record is from RNAcentral. Lineage: Bacteria; Pseudomonadati; Planctomycetota; Candidatus Brocadiia.
GGGGGCGAAAGGGUUUCGACCGAGCCCCGGAAGCUGAAGUGGCGCACCGAGGUUGUCAGGCGGCCUCGUAAAACACCUGGCACAACCGAACAUGCCGAAUACACACCGGCAUACGCGAUGGCUGCUUAACGGGCAGCCCCGCCUGCGCGGGCGUGACCUGCAAGCCCGCGUAAGGCGACAACAAAGCAGGUGUACCCGCCCCGUGCGCAGCCAGGUCGCAGGCGGGGAAUUCGCCUAACGGCGAACAUAACGGGCUGGUCGGGCCUGGAUCCCGUCGAUCGGAGCCGGGCCGGCGAGAUGCAAUAGGUCGACUAUGUGCGUAGAAGCUUCAGCGGAAGGGCCCUGGGACGCGGGUUCGAUUCCCGCCGCCUCCACCA